GGCCUGGUGGUCUAGUAGUAUGAUUCCUUCUUAGGGCUAUUGGUCAUUUGGAGGAGGUCCCGGGUUCAAUUCCCGGCCAGGCCC
Non-coding RNA from Lactifluus volemus, 84 nucleotides. NCBI's taxonomy places the organism in Eukaryota, Fungi, Basidiomycota, Agaricomycetes, Russulales, Russulaceae. The record is from the annotation of a GenBank genome assembly.